RNAcentral lists this transfer RNA (69 nucleotides) under Rattus norvegicus (Norway rat). It matches the Rfam family "tRNA". From Rfam's summary of the family: Transfer RNA (tRNA) molecules are approximately 80 nucleotides in length. The record is from Rfam by way of RNAcentral. Lineage: Eukaryota; Metazoa; Chordata; Mammalia; Rodentia; Muridae.
GGGGAUUUAGCUCAGUGGUAGAGCACUUGCCUAGCAAGCACAAAGUCUUGGGUUCGGUCCCCAGCUCCG